This is a non-coding RNA of Solanum lycopersicum (tomato), 2298 nucleotides long. The record is from RefSeq and is a predicted model, not a curated record. NCBI's taxonomy places the organism in Eukaryota, Viridiplantae, Streptophyta, Magnoliopsida, Solanales, Solanaceae.
CAUUCUCUUUUUCUCUAAUUUCUUCUUAAUAUUAUACAGUUUCAUAAUAUAUUUUGCCCCAAUUUACAAAAAGCAAGACUGUGCUAGAUCUCUUUAUGACAGUUUUUUGCUUUUAUUUUGGGUUUCUCAUGAAAACAUCAAACAUGGUCUUAGGCGACCUCCCUUCUUCUCUUCCAUUCCGUCGUUUUUCCUCAAACACUUCGGUAUCUCUCACGCUACACAAACAAAACUCGUCUUCUCUACCUCCGCCGCCACCGCCGUCUUCUUAUGUUCUCCGACUGUCAGCAACUCCAUCCGAAGCCCUAGUUCAGAAAAUAGGCAAAUCUGUUUGCCAUUCCCGCGCGCCUUCAAAUGCCCAGGUUUUUCAAAUAUCAAUUUGGUCCUACCUAAAGAGUAUUGAGAUUAUGAAUCCCUAACUGUUCAAUGGAGAGAAGCAAUAAAAUAAAAACACUUUUUUGUAAUCAUGACAGCCAUUGAUGCUUCUACUGGAAACCGAAAAGAUUGCUUGUUUGACAAGAUUAAUCUUGUUUUUGGAGACCCUUUUUGAAAUUGUAGUGAAAAAAGAUCAUAUAAUUUGUCAAAGGGAGCUUUGGAGUAUUUGCUGUGUAUCGUGAGGAGUGUGGGAUUCCAGAUAAGAGAAGUUCUUGGUUGACACUCUUUGAUGUGGAAGUUCCCACGACUAAUGUUCCAUAAAGUAAAGGCAAGUUCUUGGAUGCAAAUCAGGCUUUAGAAGUUGCUAGAAAUGAUCUAUACUAUAAUUGGAGAACUAGGCAAGAUGUACUUACUCUAAUGCUCCUACACGAAAAGGUACUUCUUUGAAUUAAUAUGUGUAUUGAACUUGGAAACCUGGUAAAAUACAACAUUCACUGUCUUUAUCUAGGUCUAUUGACAAGUUUGUUGCGUUGCUGGUUUCUAUUGUACCUUCCUUAGAGUUGUUUAAAUUUUCUUGAUCUUUAUCGUAUUCUAUGUUAUAUUCUAAUCAGUUAUAAUACAACAUGUACAUUCUUCUAUGGGUGUUUUCAUAGUUAUGCUUCCCUUUUCCACUAGUUCAUCUCUUACAAAAUUUAUUAUCUAAAGGAACAGAAUUGAGGUUGACGACAUGCCCAAACAAUCUCAAGCGACCUCUCAUUUGAAACUCAAUGUGUUCUACUUGAAAUGCUGGAUCUAGAAUUGGAGCUUUCACUAAUAUGACUCCUAGUAACUUCAUGUGUAUAGGUUGCCUAAGGAACUACAUGUCUUCAUGUUUGCAUUCGGUUCUCUUAGUCUUUGUAUAAAUUGCCUAAGGAACAUCAUGUUUUGGACAUCAUUGUGGAUCAGAAGUUCUUCUUGUGUAUUUCAAUCAUUUGUCUCUAUCUUUGUCAGUCCCUCCCUUGUGUAUCUAAUUUCCCUUCACAAGAGAUUUGGCGAUCUCUGGAAUCAGUGCGCCUUAGAAAAUAUGCAGAGUGGUAUAUAUCCGAAAAGUGUGAGAAUGUUCUUAGUCGACUAUCAGAAAAGCAUAUAUGCAAAACUAUGUUGCUGCUCAGCGGCUUAGGUGAUGCAUGUAUACUGAUUAUAUCCUAAAGGUACUCUCUUAAUUCUUUUCAACUUCUUCCUCUUGAAAUUUUGCAUUCCCAGCUGCUCCAACAUGUAGCUUCCUUUCACUGCUGCUGGUAGUUGAUUAUAUGUGUAGAAGUGUUGACUAAAAAGUCUAAUAUAUGACUCAAUUUUGAAAGGUAAUCAGCAGAAUUGGUGUGAGAAUUAUUUCAUGUCUACAAUUUUCCAACAUAAAGAUAAGAUCAUUCCAGUUGUGUGACCGCUGAAUAUAAAGGAAACAGUGAUGAAAAUUUGAACGAUAUUUUUUGCAGAUUAACUUCACUCUCCACUUAUUGAAUUGUUUGGCACCAUAUUUUACUGCACAUUCAUUUUUCCACAGGUUCCAACAUAUAACGAUGGGAAGGGCCUGAUUCAUGAGCUUGUGAGCCUCAUUUUUUAUGUUGCAUACUACCCCACUACAUAAAAAGAAUUCUUAGUAUUGAGCAUAUUAAAUACACGAUUUAUUUCACUAACUUGUAUUUUUAUUUUGAAUGUGCAGGAAAAUGCCGGUAAUUGAAUUUGAAUAGUGGCUAGAAGUAAACUCGAUCCAGUCCAGAGAACAAUGAAGAGUUUUUGUACAAUUAUCAUAUUUGUUUGUAUGCAUUUGGUUGUGGAAUUUAUUGAUAGUAUAGAUCUUUAUGAAAUUGCUUUCUAAGUAUUGGUUGUACAAGACAUGUUUGUCGAAGUUUAUUUUAAAUAUAUACUUUUGAUUUAUUUAUUAGCUAA